GACGAACGCUGGCGGCGUGCUUAACACAUGCAAGUCGAACGGAAAGGCCCUGCUUUUGUGGGGUGCUCGAGUGGCGAACGGGUGAGUAACACGUGAGUAACCUGCCCUUGACUGUGGGAUAACUUCAGGAAACUGGGGCUAAUACCGGAUAGGAGCUCCUGCUGCAUGGUGGGGGUUGGAAAGUUUCGGCGGUUGGGGAUGGACUCGCGGCUUAUCAGCUUGUUGGUGGGGUAGUGGCUUACCAAGGCUUUGACGGGUAGCCGGCCUGAGAGGGUGACCGGCCACAUUGGGGCUGCGGUACGGCCCAGACUCCUCCGGGAGGCAGCAGUGGGGAUUAUUGCACAAUGGGCGGGAGCCUGAUGCAGCAGCGCCGCGUGCGGGAUGACGGCCUUCGGGUUGUAAACCGCUUUCGCCUGUGACGAAGCGUGAGUGACGGUAAUGGGUAAAGAAGCACCGGCUAACUACGUG
Molecule: ribosomal RNA, 468 nt
Filed under: uncultured bacterium
Lineage: Bacteria
Description: partial 16S ribosomal RNA
Rfam family: Bacterial small subunit ribosomal RNA
Source: RNAcentral